This 394-nucleotide long non-coding RNA is filed under the name Coffea arabica (coffee). Its description in RNAcentral is "long non-coding RNA (CARA_LNC005964)". Lineage: Eukaryota; Viridiplantae; Streptophyta; Magnoliopsida; Gentianales; Rubiaceae. The record is from RNAcentral.
AAUCAUGGCUAGAUGUUUAUACCUCAAAAGCAAGGCUUGGAUGAGUGAUAGUUCACUCCCUUUGAAAUUUCUUGGUUUCCCAAGCUUCCUAACUCACAAGCUACUCUUUAAUCGGUUUGGAUUUGAAUUUGCUACUUGGGUUGAAGCAAAUCAAGAAGAUGGAAUUGUUUUUCUUUGGUGUUCUUCCCUCUUGUCUCUCUCGGCCAAGCUCAAGGAAAAAUGAAGAAGAAAGGCUGCUCUAUGGUGAUUAAAAAGGCAAGAAGACUAGGAUUAAUCUAAGCCACAAGUUUUGCCAACACUUGGCCUAAUUACAACCACAAAAAUUUCUCUUUCUUCCUUGCUAUUUUAGUCCACAAAUUUCGGUCAAGAGAUAGCCAUGAGGGGGAAGAUAUUU